GAGUUUGAUCGUGGCUCAGAUUGAACGCUGGCGGCAUGCCUAACACAUGCAAGUCGAACGGCAGCACUGGGAGCUUGCUCCCUGGUGGCGAGUGGCGGACGGGUGAGUAACGCGUAGGAAUCUGCCUCAUAGCGGGGGACGAACUCGGGAACGUACGAGCUAAUAACCGCAUACUACUCGAGAGAGGAAAGACAGGGGACCGUUCGGGCCGUUGUCACUAU
RNAcentral lists this ribosomal RNA (221 nucleotides) under uncultured microorganism. RNAcentral describes it as "partial 16S ribosomal RNA". It matches the Rfam family "Bacterial small subunit ribosomal RNA", at positions 9 to 221 of the family's 1533-position model. The record is from RNAcentral.